CUACACAUGCAGUCGAGCGGAUGAGAAGAGCUUGCUCUUCGAUUCAGCGGCGGACGGGUGAGUAAUGCCUAGGAAUCUGCCUGGUAGUGGGGGACAACGUUUCGAAAGGAACGCUAAUACCGCAUACGUCCUACGGGAGAAAGCAGGGGACCUUCGGGCCUUGCGCUAUCAGAUGAGCCUAGGUCGGAUUAGCUAGUUGGUGAGGUAAUGGCUCACCAAGGCGACGAUCCGUAACUGGUCUGAGAGGAUGAUCAGUCACACUGGAACUGAGACACGGUCCAGACUCCUACGGGAGGCAGCAGUGGGGAAUAUUGGACAAUGGGCGAAAGCCUGAUCCAGCCAUGCCGCGUGUGUGAAGAAGGUCUUCGGAUUGUAAAGCACUUUAAGUUGGGAGGAAGGGCAUUAACCUAAUACGUUAGUGUUUUGACGUUACCGACAGAAUAAGCACCGGCUAACUCUGUGCCAGCAGCCGCGGUAAUACAGAGGGUGCAAGCGUUAAUCGGAAUUACUGGGCGUAAAGCGCGCGUAGGUGGUUUGUUAAGUUGGAUGUGAAAGCCC
RNAcentral lists this ribosomal RNA (558 nucleotides) under bacterium amp-w-8. RNAcentral's name for it is "bacterial SSU rRNA". It matches the Rfam family "Bacterial small subunit ribosomal RNA", at positions 49 to 603 of the family's 1533-position model. The record is from RNAcentral.